This 72-nucleotide transfer RNA is filed under the name Marmota monax (woodchuck). RNAcentral describes it as "tRNA.Val". The stretch from base 5 to 67 matches the Rfam family "tRNA", at positions 5 to 66 of the family's 71-position model. Rfam says of the family: Transfer RNA (tRNA) molecules are approximately 80 nucleotides in length. Their secondary structure includes four short double-helical elements and three loops (D, anti-codon, and T loops). Lineage: Eukaryota; Metazoa; Chordata; Mammalia; Rodentia; Sciuridae. The record is from RNAcentral.
GAGGUUGUGGCUCAGCGGUAGAGCACUCACCUCACGUGUGCGAGACCCUGAGUUCAAUCCUCAGCAAUAAAA